CAGGGGUUAGUUUUAUUAAAAUGUCAGUUUUGGGGACUGAGGAUAGGGGUUAACCCUACCCCUGA
Molecule: transfer RNA, 65 nt
Filed under: Choroedocus capensis
Lineage: Eukaryota; Metazoa; Arthropoda; Insecta; Orthoptera; Acrididae
Description: tRNA-Pro
Source: RNAcentral